CGAAUAAGUGAAUAAAGAGAGCUGUCCGUCGACAGUCCAGAAACUAUUUAAUAUCACUGUCAUGGAAUUGCUCUCUUUGUAUAAUAUUCG
This is a non-coding RNA of Drosophila melanogaster (fruit fly), 90 nucleotides long. The record is from Rfam. Lineage: Eukaryota; Metazoa; Arthropoda; Insecta; Diptera; Drosophilidae.